RNAcentral lists this ribosomal RNA (253 nucleotides) under uncultured bacterium. Its description in RNAcentral is "partial 16S ribosomal RNA". It matches the Rfam family "Bacterial small subunit ribosomal RNA", at positions 524 to 776 of the family's 1533-position model. The record is from RNAcentral.
UACGGGGGGGGCAAGCGUUGUUCGGAUUUACUGGGCGUAAAGAGCGCGCAGGCGGUCGUGCAAGUCGCGUGUGAAAGCCCCCGGCUCAACUGGGGAGGGUCACGCGAUACUGCUCGACUCGAAGGCAGGAGAGGGAAGUGGAAUUCCCGGUGUAGUGGUGAAAUGCGUAGAUAUCGGGAGGAACACCAGUGGCGAAGGCGACUUCCUGGCCUGUUCUUGACGCUGAGGCGCGAAAGCUAGGGUAGCAAACGGG